This 1439-nucleotide ribosomal RNA is filed under the name metagenome. RNAcentral's name for it is "bacterial SSU rRNA". It matches the Rfam family "Bacterial small subunit ribosomal RNA". The record is from RNAcentral.
AGAGUUUGAUCCUGGCUCAGGAUGAACGCUGGCGGCGUGUCUAAGGCAUGCAAGUCGAGUGCACUUCGGGUGCACGGCAGACGGGAGCGUAACACAUUGGUAAUUCACCCCUAAGAGAAGAAUAACUCUCCGAAAGGAGGGCUAAUACUUCAUGUGCUCGUUGUACUUAUGUAUGACGCGUAAAGGUUUACUGCUUAGGGAGAAGCCUAUGACCUAUCAGCUUGUUGGUGAGGUAAUGGCCCACCGAGGCUAUGACGGGUACCGGGUGUGAGAGCAUGACCCGGCUCAAUGGGACUGAGACACUGCCCAUACUUCUACGGAAGGCUGCAGUCGAGAAUAUUCCACAAUGGCCGCAAGGCUGAUGGAGCGACGCCGCGUGCAGGAAGAAGCCCUUCGGGGUGUAAACUGCUUUUUUUUAGGGACGAACAAAUGACGCUACCUAGAGAAUAAGAGGCUGCUAACUUCGUGCCAGCAGCAGCGGUAAUACGAAGGCCUCAAGCGUUAUCCGGAAUUAUUGGGCGUAAAGCGUCCGCAGGCGGUUUGGAAAGCGUGUCGUUAAAUUUCAGGGCUCAACCCCGAAACAGCGAUGCGAACUUCCAGACUAGAGUGUGGGAAAGGCAUCUGGAAUUGUCGGUGUAGUAGUAAAAUGCGUUAAUAUCGACAGGAACACCAAAAGCGAAAGCAUGAUGCUGGAACACUACUGACGCUCAGGGACGAAAGCGUGGGGAGCGAAUCGGAUUAGUUACCCGAGUAGUCCACGCCGUAAACGAUGCAUACUAGACAUUGGGAGUAUCGACCCUCUCAGUGUCGUUUAACCAAGCUAACGCGUUAAGUAUGCCGCCUGGGGAGUACGGUCGCAACACUAAAACUCAAAGGAAUUGACGGGGACCCGCACAAGCGGUGGAGCAUGUGGUUUAAUUCGACGGUAAGCGAGGAACCUCACCCAGUCUUGACAUGUAGCUGCAAGCUUCUAGAGAUAGAGGCCGCCUUCGAGGGUGCUACACUGGUGCUGCAUGGCUGUCGUCAGCUCGUGGCGUGAGCUGUACGGUUAAGUCCGGUAACGAGCGCAACCCUCGUGCUGUGUUGAUUAUUUCACAGCAGACUGCCUGCGAAAGUAGGAGGAAGGAGAGGAUGACGUCAAGUCAGCAUGGCUCUUACGACUGGGGCCACACACGUGCUACAAUGGCUAGGACAAUGCGUUGCCAACCCGCGAGGGGGAGCUAAUCGCAACAAACCUAGUCUCAGUUCGGAUUGGAGUCUGCAACUCGACUCCAUGAAGCUGGAAUCGCUAGUAACCGCAAAUCAGCCACGUUGCGGUGAAUACGUUCUCGGGUCUUGUACACACCGCCCGUCAAGCCAAGAGAGUUGGGGGCACCCGAAUGACGGAGGAUUCUGUCAGAAGGUGAAACCAAUGAUAGGGGCUAAGUCGUAACAAGGCA